GACACUCCGCAACCUCGCUGGGCAACCUGUUCUAGUGCUCGGUCACCUCGACAGUAAAGAAGUUCUUCGUAUUCAGGUGGAACUUCCCUUCCUGUGCAUCAGUUUCUGCCCAUUGCCUCUUGCCCUAUUACUUGGCACCACGGAGAAGAGGCUGCUCCAUCUUCUUGACACCCAUCCUUUAGGUGUUCUGCAAACACAACAGUUCCCAGACAUGGCUGAAGGAUGCAUCCAUGGCUCAGGCCAGCCAACCAAAACCAGCCUGCAGUCUCCCCAGCACCGCAACAAUAACGAUAAAGAUGGGCCAAGCUGACUUUUCUGGAGAAGAAAACUGUUGACUGUCCUGAGUUUUGGAUGGAGAUGCUUGAAAUUGCUGCCUGUUAGUUUUUCUGACCACACAAGCCCCACUUGCUGAAAACUUGAAUACUGUGUCUUCUGAUUCUGCUGCAAGACUUGACAGAUCAGGUUUCUGCAAGAAGCAGUGUUUCAUGUGAUAGUGCUGAUGCGCGCUUUGGAGAUCAUCAAAGUUCUUGUUGCAUGCAGCACAUCUAACAACAUACAUCUCUCCCUUAGAGUUUACUGACUUGUGGCUCUUGAGGUGAGUGUUCAUAUCAGCAAUAUUCUGUGCCGUGGCAGAGCACAGGCAGCAGCGAAACCAUAGGUUCCCUUUCUGCAGCAUGGCUUUCUGACAACUCUCAUGAUCGUUCCUCCUGUUUAUUUUGGAGAUGUAAGUGGUCCGGCAACCGCAGGUUAAGCGCUCUCCUUGUUCCACUGGGAGGAAGUCCUCAUCCUUUUUUAUUGACAGCUCCAUCUGCUCAGGCACAAAUGUAUAGUCCAUGCUAUGAAGCGUCUUGUAAUGGAUUAGAAAUUCUUCCUCUGUGUUGAAGAAGAGAUUACCACAAAGGCCACAGAAAUAUUUAAUCUGCAUCUCCUGAUUAUGAUGCUCUUGGAAGUGCCGCUGUAGAGUUCCUACUUUCCGAAAAUGAUUUUUACAUAUGCCACAUGAGUACCUGUGAAAUGCAUGGCUUUCUAAGGACCUGCAGUGUUGCUGAACACUCUCUUCAGACUCAAACAUCUCCUCACAAAUGCAGCACUGCCAUUUUCCCACAACAGGACCACUUUCAGGGGACAGUUCCACAGGGCCAGAAAUGCAGUCUCUAUCUCCACCUGCAGAAAUGCUCACCGCAUCAGAAGCAGAUGGCAUAGGUUCAUCUUCUACAGCUUCUUGCUCAUAGUAGUAACUAUGCCCACCAUGAAAUUCAGUUACAUGUCUCAUAAUAUCCUCUUCUCUAAGAUCUACAGAGCAUGCUCUGCACCAGAGAAGAAAAUUAGUCAAGUGUGCUCCUCCAUGGAAUCGACUCAUAUGCAGGCGGAUAAUGCUUGAAUUUUCAGCCAGUUUUCCACACACAGCACACUUGUGACAAAUCCUAUUUGCUGAUAAAAUGUGCUUUUCUACUGACUCUUCUGUAAAAAACUUUUGAAGGCAUUCACAAAACCAGGCUUUUACUUUGGAAGCAGUACCUUGACUUUGGUUUGCAACUUUAUCUUCACUUUUACCUUCUGAAUUACUCCUCCGUUUUGAAGGACUAGACCCUGUUUCACUGGAGGACUCAUCUGGACUCAAGUGUCUUUUCAGCAGUGGUCUUGACCGUUCCACAAUGUGGGCCAAAUGAGACUGACUUUUAUGUUUUCCAUUGACAUGGCAGAACAUCAAGAUUGAUUCUUCCAGUGUAGUAAAAACUCUAAUGUUAUGUUGAGUGGUUUGUUUGUGUUGGGUCAUCUGAUUCUUUUCAGCAAACAGUUCAUCACAGUUCUCACAGUGACCUUUCAUUUUAAAUAUUUCUGCAACUUGGGAGAUGCUUUUCUUUGACAGUGCCAUGGGCCCAGAAUUAUAACAACGUGUUCUAGAAUGGAUAAAAAAACAUAAAGGAGGUUAUAUCACCACCUGAAACAUUUGUAAACUUUCAGAGACUGUCCCACCAGCAAGAUGUUGGGAGACAGAGCUGGGACAGCUGACCUCAAAUGGCCAAAUGGACAUCCCACAGCAUAAGACAUCAUGCUCAGCAAUAAAAGUUGUGUAAAGGAGGAGGAAGGAGAUAGUUGGGAAGACAAAUGCCAUCACUCCAAGUAACUACCACAUGUGACAGAGCUCUGCCUUUCAAUUCAAGAAUCUUGUUUUGCUUUGCACGUGCACGGAAUUUGUGCUUUGCUUAUUAAGCUGUUUUUACAUCAGCCCACAGUGCUCUCACCUUUACCCUAGACCCCACCAGUGGCAGUGAGUGAGCAGCUGUGUGGGGCUGAGCUGCCUAUGGGGGUUAACCCAUGACACUGUCCUCAACUCCUCACCAUCCUGCCUAUGGACACGUUCAGUAGGUAAAGGGCAGCAUCUGCUGGAAUUGAACACUGACACACUGAGUACUGACUAGCAAUAUCACCUAGGAACACACAGCCUAUAGCUUUUGUUCCUCUUUCCCUGCAUUAGGGGCUUUUCUCUUUAUCUUACCAUCAACUUGUGUAAGUGACCCUUUUGGUUUAUUUCAAGUUUGGAUGAAGAUAUAACUAAACUGGAGUACAGAAAUCUGACUUCUCAAAAAACUCAGAUAUUAAAAAAUGCUAAACAAGAGGAAGCCAUAAAUUCUGAAUUAAAAAAACAAACCACACACGCCAAGUAAAAAACCAAACCAAAUCAUCAAAAAAAAACCUCCAUGAAGCUCACCUACAUAAAUGGUAACAUAUUAAUUGGCUCUCAAAUGGAGCUUUGUCAGUACAUGCAGUUUAAAGCAGACUUGAUGCUGAUGUCCUAAGUUAGAGCACAUUCUUUCAUUAUUACUCCUUGCACUGAAUUCUUGCAAUGUAUCUCCUUACCUCUGAA
This is a long non-coding RNA of Melospiza melodia melodia, 2869 nucleotides long. RefSeq lists it as uncharacterized. The transcript has 4 exons. The record is from RefSeq and is a predicted model, not a curated record. NCBI's taxonomy places the organism in Eukaryota, Metazoa, Chordata, Aves, Passeriformes, Passerellidae.